Molecule: ribosomal RNA, 374 nt
Filed under: uncultured eukaryote
Lineage: Eukaryota
Description: partial 18S ribosomal RNA
Rfam family: Eukaryotic small subunit ribosomal RNA
Source: RNAcentral
CGAGAGCGUAUGUAAAAGUUGUUGCAGUUAAAAAGCUCGUAGUUGAACCUUGGGUUUGGUUGGCCGGUCCGCUUUUUUGCGAGUACUGGAUUCAACCGAGCCUUUCCUUCUGGCUAACCAGUCGUUUCGGCGGCUGGCGAACCAGGAUUUUUACUUUGAGAAAAUUAGAGUGUUCAAAGCAGGCAUUAGCUUGAAUAUAUUAGCAUGGAAUAAUAGAAUAGGACGUUAUGGUUCUAUUUUGUUGGUUUCUAGGACCAUCGUAAUGAUUAAUAGGGACGGUCGGGGGCAUCAGUAUUCAGUUGUCAGAGGUGAAAUUCUUGGAUUUACUGAAGACUAACUACUGCGAAAGCAUUUGCCAAGGACGUUUUCAUUAA